CGGGGGGAGCAAGCGUUGUUCGGAUUUACUGGGCGUAAAGGGCGCGUAGGCGGCCUCUGCAAGUCGACUGUGAAAUCUCCGGGCUUAACCCGGAACGGUCAGCCGAUACUGCAGGGCUAGAGUGCAGAAGGGGCAACUGGAAUUCUCGGUGUAGCGGUGAAAUGCGUAGAUAUCGAGAGGAACACCUGCGGCGAAGGCGGGUUGCUGGGCUGACACUGACGCUGAGGCGCGAAAGCUAGGGGAGCGAUCGGGAUUAGAUACCCCGGUAGUCCUAGCCUUAAACGAUGAAUGCUUGGUGUCUGGGGUUUUAUAGUCCCCGGGUGCCGUCGCUAACGCUUUAAGCAUUCCGCCUGGGGAGUACGGUCGCGAGACUG
Molecule: ribosomal RNA, 374 nt
Filed under: uncultured organism
Description: bacterial SSU rRNA
Rfam family: Bacterial small subunit ribosomal RNA
Source: RNAcentral